UACGGUGGGUGCGAGCGUUAAUCGGAAUUACUGAGCGUAAAGCGUGCGUAGGUGGUUCGAUCAGUCUGAUGUGAAAGCCCUGGGCUUAACCUGGGAAUGGCCUUGGAAACUGUCGAGCUGGAGUGUGGGAGAGGGGCGUGGAAUUUCCGGUGUAGCAGUGAAAUGCGUAGAGAUCGGAAGGAACACCAGUGGCGAAAGCGCUCUACUGGGCCGCAACUGACACUGAGGGACGAAAGCUAGGGGAGCGAAUGGG
RNAcentral lists this ribosomal RNA (253 nucleotides) under uncultured bacterium. Its description in RNAcentral is "partial 16S ribosomal RNA". It matches the Rfam family "Bacterial small subunit ribosomal RNA", at positions 524 to 776 of the family's 1533-position model. The record is from RNAcentral.